RNAcentral lists this ribosomal RNA (468 nucleotides) under uncultured bacterium. RNAcentral's name for it is "partial 16S ribosomal RNA". It matches the Rfam family "Bacterial small subunit ribosomal RNA", at positions 28 to 507 of the family's 1533-position model. The record is from RNAcentral.
GACGAACGCUGGCGGCGUGCUUAACACAUGCCAGUCGAACGGAAAGGCCCUGCUUUUGUGGGGUGCUCGAGUGGCGAACGGGUGAGUAACACGUGAGUAACCUGCCCUUGACUUUGGGAUAACUUCAGGAAACUGGGGCUAAUACCGGAUAGGAGCUCCUGCUGCAUGGUGGGGGUUGGAAAGUUUCGGCGGUUGGGGAUGGACUCGCGGCUUAUCAGCUUGUUGGUGGGGUAGUGGCUUACCAAGGCUUUGACGGGUAGCCGGCCUAAGAGGGUGACCGGCCACAUUGGGACUGAGAUACGGCCCAGACUCCUACGGGAGGCAGCAGUGGGGAAUAUUGCACAAUGGGCGGAAGCCUGAUGCAGCAACGCCGCGUGCGGGAUGACGGCCUUCGGGUUGUAAACCGCUUUCGCCUGUGACGAAGCGUGAGUGACGGUAAUGGGUAAAGAAGCACCGGCUAACUACGUG